This 257-nucleotide ribosomal RNA is filed under the name uncultured Glomeraceae. Its description in RNAcentral is "partial small subunit ribosomal RNA". It matches the Rfam family "Eukaryotic small subunit ribosomal RNA", at positions 624 to 886 of the family's 1831-position model. Lineage: Eukaryota; Fungi; Glomeromycota; Glomeromycetes; Glomerales; Glomeraceae. The record is from RNAcentral.
AAGCUCGUAGUUGAAUUUCGGGAUCAAUAUAUUGGUCGUGCCUUUGGUAUGAACUGGUAUUAUUGAUUUCUACCUUCUGACGAACUGUGAUGUCAUUAAUUUGGUGUCAUGGGGAAUCAGGACUGUUACUUUGAAAAAAUUAGAGUGUUUAAAGCAGGCACACGCUUGAAUACAUUAGCAUGGAAUAAUGAAAUAGGACGUUGAUCCUAUUUUGUUGGUUGUUAGGAUUGACGUAAUGAUUAAUAGGGAUAGUUGGG